RNAcentral lists this ribosomal RNA (511 nucleotides) under uncultured Glomus. RNAcentral's name for it is "SSU rRNA". It matches the Rfam family "Eukaryotic small subunit ribosomal RNA", at positions 569 to 1081 of the family's 1831-position model. The record is from RNAcentral. Lineage: Eukaryota; Fungi; Glomeromycota; Glomeromycetes; Glomerales; Glomeraceae.
AGCAGCCGCGGUAAUUCCAGCUCCAAUAGCGUAUAUUAAAGUUGUUGCAGUUAAAAAGCUCGUAGUUGAAUUUCGGGGUCAGUAGAUUGGUCGUGCCACUGGUAUGUACUGGUCUCACUGGCUCCUCCUUCCUGAUGAACCGUAAUGCCAUUAAUUCGGUGUUGCAGGGAGACUGGACUGUUACUUUGAGAAAAUUAGAGUGUUUAAAGCAGGCUAACGCUUGAAUACAUUAGCAUGGAAUAAUGAAAUAGGACGUUCGAUCUUAUUUUGUUGGUUUCUAAGAUUGACGUAAUGAUUAAUAGGGAUAGUUGGGGGCAUUAGUAUUCAAUUGUCAGAGGUGAAAUUCUUGGAUUUAUUGAAGACUAACUACUGCGAAAGCAUUUGCCAAGGAUGUUUUCAUUAAUCAAGAACGAAAGUUAGGGGAUCGAAGACGAUCAGAUACCGUCGUAGUCUUAACCAUAAACUAUGCCGACUAGGGAUCGGAUGAUGUUAAUUUUUUAAUGACUCAUUC